This is a small nucleolar RNA of 76 nucleotides. Its record names the gene U3. It matches the Rfam family "Small nucleolar RNA U3". Rfam says of the family: Small nucleolar RNAs (snoRNAs) are involved in the processing and modification of rRNA in the nucleolus. There are two main classes of snoRNAs: the box C/D class, and the box H/ACA class. U3 snoRNA is a member of the box C/D class. The record is from Ensembl.
AAGACUAUACUUUCAAGGAUCAUUUCUAUAGUUUGUUACUAAUAUUCUAUAUAGCACAAUAGAAUACAUGCUAAUA